CAAAAACAUCGCUAGCCGUAUUUUACAGUUGGUUGUUUCUGCUCACUGGGAAACUAAAUAGCCGCAGUACCCUGACUGUGCAAAGGUAGCAUAAUCAUUUGGCUUAUAAUUGAAGUCUGGAAUGAAAGAAAGGAUGGGUAAUUGCUGUCUCUAAAAGGUUACUAGAAGUUAUUAAGUAAGUGCAAAUACUUAUAUAUAAAUAAUAGACGAGAAGACCCUAGAAAUUUUUUAGACAAUUAGUUAGGCUAGUUAUUAUUUUGCUGGGGCGGCAGAAUAACAGUAAACUUAUUUUUGCGACUGGAACUAUGUAAAGAGAUAGAUUAAAUUACUCUAGGGAUAACAGCAUAAUUUAUAAAAGUUUGUGACCUCGAUGUUGGACUAGGGACCUUAAUAUUUAGAAGACGUUAAGGAAGGCUCUGUUCGAGCAUCAUAUCCCUACAUGAUCU
RNAcentral lists this ribosomal RNA (446 nucleotides) under Xerocrassa ripacurcica montsicciana. Its description in RNAcentral is "partial 16S ribosomal RNA". It matches the Rfam family "Archaeal large subunit ribosomal RNA", at positions 1900 to 2675 of the family's 2987-position model. Lineage: Eukaryota; Metazoa; Mollusca; Gastropoda; Stylommatophora; Geomitridae. The record is from RNAcentral.